AUGAAUCUGGUCUUGGGACACUGUCAGGUGGGCAGUUUGACUGGGGCGGUCGCCUCCCAAAAGGUAACGGAGGCGCUCAAAGGUUCUCUCAGUACGGUCGGAAAUCGUACGUAGAGUGUAAAGGCAAAAGAGAGCUUGAUUGCAAGACAUACAGGUCGAGCAAGGAUGAAAAUCGGACUUAGUGAUCCGGUGGUUCUGCGUGGAAGGGCCAUCGCUCAACGGAUAAAAGCUACCCUGGGGAUAACAGGCUUAUCUCCCCCAAGAGUCCACAUCGACGGGGAGGUUUGGCACCUCGAUGUCGGCUCAUCACAUCCUGGGGCUGUAGUAGGUCCCAAGGGUUGGGCUGUUCGCCCAUUAAAGUGGUACGCGAGCUGGGUUCAGAACGUCGUGAGACAGUUCGGUCCCUAUCCGUCGCAGGCGUAGGAAAUUUGAGAAGACCUGUCCUUAGUACGAGAGGACCGGGAUGGACGUACCUCUGGUGUACCAGUUGUUCUGCCAAGGGCAUGGCUGGGUAGCUAUGUACGGAAUGGAUAAGCGCUGAAAGCAUCUAAGCGCGAAGCCAACUUCAAGAUAAGAUUUCCCACCGCAAGGGUAAGACCCCAGAAAGACUAUCUGGUUGAUAGGUCGAAGGUGUAAGUGCAGCAAUGUAUUUAGCUUAUCGAUACUAAUAGGUCGAGGACUUGACCAA
RNAcentral lists this ribosomal RNA (688 nucleotides) under Clostridioides difficile. RNAcentral's name for it is "bacterial LSU rRNA". It matches the Rfam family "Bacterial large subunit ribosomal RNA", at positions 2235 to 2925 of the family's 2925-position model. The record is from RNAcentral. Lineage: Bacteria; Bacillati; Bacillota; Clostridia; Peptostreptococcales; Peptostreptococcaceae.